AGAAACUUAGGUUACACACCAAACCAAGAGCCUUCAAAGCUCUAAACAGAGAUCUACCUCUAGUUUCUG
RNAcentral lists this transfer RNA (69 nucleotides) under Goniurosaurus araneus. Its description in RNAcentral is "tRNA-Trp". The record is from RNAcentral. Lineage: Eukaryota; Metazoa; Chordata; Lepidosauria; Squamata; Eublepharidae.